CUGAGCUACCCGACCUCUCCAGGGGAUCGGCUGCGCGCCCCGCCCUUGCCCAGAGUCUUCCCGGGAUUGGCUGCGGGCCUCGCGACCCUCCUGCUUCCCUCCCCGCCCCGCGCCGCCUCUCUGGUUUGUGCGCCCGUCGCAGGUCGCAGGCCUCUUUGUCAGCUGGAGUUGCGCGGGCUGACGCGCCACUAUGUAGCGGGUUUCGGGCGGGCCACGCGUGCGGGACAGGAACCCAACCCCAGCCGACCUUGAGCUCCAGGAGUUCGUCUCUUACGUCUGCGGAAGUGCAGCUGCCUCAGUUCUUAGCGCAGGUUGACAACUACAGGCACAAGCCAUUGAAGCUGGAAUGUCCUGUUGCUGGUAUUUCAAUUGACUUAAGCCAACUAUCCCUUCAGUUACAAUAGGAAAGUGCCUCUAAUAAGGCCAAAUAUGCGUACUAACUUGUAGCAACCACGUGUCCGUGCAGUGCCACAGGAGCUAGAGCAGUGACAAUGCUGGUGGCAACAGGGCAGUGUAGCAGGUGCUUCAUGUUCACCUUUUCAACCUUUUCAUUUAAUUGUCACAACUCGGAGGUGGAUUCUGUUAGGGACAGGCUGCCCCAGGACCACUCCGCCCCCGCUAACUCAAUGCAGCUGACCCUUACCCUGAAUACUCUGCAGCUGCAUUCCUGAACCGUUAUCUAGGCGCUAUAGCAAGGUCACCAGACUUGCUACACCGAAGCCCUCUGGGUGGCACGGGGGAGGUCAUGAGAAACGUGGAUUACACCCCCUUGUAAAUUCCUAUUUUCACAAGAUAAUAUAUUGUAAGCCGGUCAUGAGAUUAUAUGUGGUAAAGUUAAUUGACUAACAACCCCAGGGUCUCUCUCCCCCAUAUAAACCCCUCAUUUUGUAAGCUCAGGGCUGCCACCUCCGACUGGUGGAGAAGCCUGGCAGGUUAAUAAACUUACUUGGCCUGACCUUGGGUCUCUUGUCUUUUCUCUCGGCUAACCUUACAGAUUCUAUUCUCCCAUUUCACAGGUAAAGAAAUGGAUUAGUGAUAACUCAAGUUUCAUCACCUCUCUACAAGUUUCACGCUGUUUAAGUCAUGAACCUACAAAAGCCUGUGAAAAAAUCUUUGAAGAUGCUCAGCUUGUUUCAGUCUGAAAUUUCUCCAAGACCAAUGAACAAAACAGGAUCAUGCCCUGAAUACACACCCAAGCUGCAGGCUCCUGCUUAGCCCUAUUUUGGUUUGGCCUCCAUGAGAUCUUCAGCCACAAUAGCAGGAGAUAAAAAUCUUCCUAGAAGCUUUCAUCAGCUGCAAGUUUUCUUACAGAAUGAAACUUUUCUGCUAUUUUUCUCAUAGUUAAUUGGCUAUUUGAGAAAACCGAAUUUCUGGCUCUCAGCAUUUAAUUGGAUUCUGUGGGUGACUGGAUGACCGCUUUGCACAUCACCAUGGGUAUCAUCCUUACCUUCUUUAAACCUUUUGUGCCAGUCAAAAAUUCUUGCUCUUGAUAUGUCAUCACCGGAAACUACUUUUUUUUUUUGUUUCUCUUUUGUGACAG
This 1540-nucleotide long non-coding RNA is filed under the name Homo sapiens (human). RNAcentral describes it as "PREDICTED lncRNA (TCONS_00200858)". The record is from RNAcentral. Lineage: Eukaryota; Metazoa; Chordata; Mammalia; Primates; Hominidae.